RNAcentral lists this ribosomal RNA (536 nucleotides) under uncultured bacterium. RNAcentral describes it as "bacterial SSU rRNA". It matches the Rfam family "Bacterial small subunit ribosomal RNA", at positions 387 to 920 of the family's 1533-position model. The record is from RNAcentral.
ACCAGCCAUGUCGCGUGCAGGACGACUGCCCUAUGGGUUGUAAACUGCUUUUGUAUGGGAAGAAACGACGGCACGAGUGCUGUUUUGCCGGUACCAUACGAAUAAGGAUCGGCUAACUCCGUGCCAGCAGCCGCGGUAAUACGGAGGAUCCGAGCGUUAUCCGGUAUUUAUUGGGUUUAAAGGGUGCGUAGGCGGGAUAUUAAGUCAGUGGUGAAAGUUUUGACGCUCAACGUUAAAAUUGCCAUUGAUACUGGUUUUCUUGAGUACAGUUGAGGUAGGCGGAAUGUGGUGUGUAGCGGUGAAAUGCAUAGAUAUACCACAGAACACCGAUUGCGAAGGCAGCUUACUAAGUUGUAACUGACGCUGAAGCACGAAAGCAUGGGGAUCAAACAGGAUUAGAUACCCUGGUAGUCCAUGCCGUAAACGAUGAUCACUAGCUGUUUGCGAUAUAAAGUAAGUGGCAAAGGGGAAACCAUUAAGUGAUCCACCUGGGGAGUACGCCCGCAAGGGUGAAACUCAAAGGAAUUGACGGGGGC